UAGGGAAUAUUGGACAAUGGGUGAGAGCCUGAUCCAGCCAUGCCGCGUGCAGGAAGAAGGCGUUAUGCGUUGUAAACUGCUUUUUGCCAGGGGAUAAAAAGACCGUGCGCGGUUAAUUGAAGGUACCUGGUGAAUAAGCCACGGCUAACUACGUGCCAGCAGCCGCGGUAAUACGUAGGUGGCAAGCGUUGUCCGGAUUUAUUGGGUUUAAAGGGUGCGUAGGUGGCCCUGUAAGUCAGUGGUGAAAUAUCUCAGCUUAACUGAGAGGGUGCCAUUGAUACUGCAGGGUUUGAGUACAGAUGAGGUAGGCGGAAUUGACGGUGUAGCGGUGAAAUGCAUAGAUAUCGUCAAGAACACCGAUAGCGAAGGCAGCUUACCAAGCUGUAACUGACACUCAAGUGCGAAAGCGUGGGGAGCAAACAGGAUUAGAUACCCUCGUAGUCCCUGAGCGGGCUGGCAAGGCGCAU
RNAcentral lists this ribosomal RNA (467 nucleotides) under uncultured bacterium. RNAcentral's name for it is "bacterial SSU rRNA". It matches the Rfam family "Bacterial small subunit ribosomal RNA", at positions 355 to 825 of the family's 1533-position model. The record is from RNAcentral.